Molecule: long non-coding RNA, 892 nt
Filed under: Olea europaea (common olive)
Lineage: Eukaryota; Viridiplantae; Streptophyta; Magnoliopsida; Lamiales; Oleaceae
Description: long non-coding RNA (OEUR_LNC002538)
Source: RNAcentral
UUGGCUGCACAAUAGAUUGGAAGAAUUUGAAAUCAGCAUUUUUCACCAACUGCUACCAAAAACACGGGAAGCAUGAUGUGUGUUAAAUAAGAUUCCUCAAGCUGCUCAGCAACUGAUAGCAAAAUCUGCAGAGAUUACUGAACCUUGAAUGUUUCAGAAAUAAGAAAGAAAAAUUGCAGAAAAAGAGCAAAUAAGGAAAUGAAAUGGAAACUCAAAGCACUGGAAAAAAAAUCCUAAUGUGAGAUAAGUAACUUGGUAAUUCUGUUUCUUUGUUAUCUUCCUUCCGGGGCAAUAGUUCUGCCAACUGAAUCAAAUUGGGAAAACACUCAAUGUGCAGCCACCCCAAAGACCAUAACCAAUAAAAUAGAAGCCAAAAAUACCUUCCAAAUUCUCAUCUUUUCAAUAUCAGAAUUCAGUUUUAAGAUACAAAAACAAAAAUGCACAUGUAGAACUAACUUGCAACUGAGGCACAAGUAGCAUUCCAAGAAACUCCACAAACUGGGAAAUGACAUUUGCAUUUUGUUCAUCUCAUCAAUUAGAUGUGGAAUUUCGACACAAGGGGUCUAUAAAUGGAGUGCACUCAAAUUGGCAGCAAAAUUGAUCCAUGAAAUCCAGCAAUGACAACAUAACAAGAUUUUAAAUAAAGAUGAAAAAAAGGAAUUAAUAUAGCAGCAUGACAUGAAACUCCAAAACCAUAAAAUUACUGCCAAAGCUAUAUAUAUACACAUCAAAAUUCAGAUAUACUAUGGAAACUCCUAUUACACACAACACACAUACAAAGAGCGAAAAAACCCUAAACAAAAUCGGAAUUAUGUUGGCGUUUUCUUCACCACCCAUGGUGAUUUUUUAUGGAACGACCUCCUUCUUCAGGUGUUAGUGUUUUGUUAUUUCA